RNAcentral lists this RNase P RNA (187 nucleotides) under Salmonella enterica subsp. enterica serovar Typhimurium var. Copenhagen str. 0084. Its description in RNAcentral is "bacterial RNase P". It matches the Rfam family "Bacterial RNase P class A", at positions 44 to 222 of the family's 367-position model. From Rfam's summary of the family: Ribonuclease P (RNase P) is a ubiquitous endoribonuclease, found in archaea, bacteria and eukarya as well as chloroplasts and mitochondria. Lineage: Bacteria; Pseudomonadati; Pseudomonadota; Gammaproteobacteria; Enterobacterales; Enterobacteriaceae. The record is from RNAcentral.
AGGAAAGUCCGGGCUCCAUAGGGCAGGGUGCCAGGUAACGCCUGGGGGGGAAACCCACGACCAGUGCAACAGAGAGCAAACCGCCGAUGGCCCACGUAAGUGGGAUCAGGUAAGGGUGAAAGGGUGCGGUAAGAGCGCACCGCGCGGCUGGUAACAGUCCGUGGCACGGUAAACUCCACCCGGAGCA